GAUGAACGCUGGCGGCGUGCCUAACACAUGCAAGUCGAGCGAUCUUCUUCGGAAGAGAGCGGCGGACGGGUGAGUAACGCGUGGGUAACCUGCCCUGUACACACGGAUAACAUACCGAAAGGUAUGCUAAUACGAGAUAAUAUACUUUUAUCGCAUGGUAGAAGUAUCAAAGCUCCGGCGGUACAGGAUGGACCCGCGUCUGAUUAGCUAGUUGGUAAGGUAACGGCUUACCAAGGCGACGAUCAGUAGCCGACCUGAGAGGGUGAUCGGCCACAUUGGAACUGAGACACGGUCCAAACUCCUACGGGAGGCAGCAGUGGGGAAUAUUGCACAAUGGGCGAAAGCCUGAUGCAGCAACGCCGCGUGAGCGAUGAAGGCCU
RNAcentral lists this ribosomal RNA (380 nucleotides) under uncultured bacterium. RNAcentral describes it as "bacterial SSU rRNA". It matches the Rfam family "Bacterial small subunit ribosomal RNA", at positions 28 to 417 of the family's 1533-position model. The record is from RNAcentral.